Molecule: long non-coding RNA, 693 nt
Organism: Cannabis sativa
Lineage: Eukaryota; Viridiplantae; Streptophyta; Magnoliopsida; Rosales; Cannabaceae
Exons: 2
Source: RefSeq, a predicted model, not a curated record
GUUUAGUUGUACAUGGAUUAAUACCUUAUUUUUUUUAAGGCUAGUCCAGUAUAUCUCUAAUUUUAAAAUAAUAAUAAUAAUAAUAAAUAAAAUAAUAAUUAAAGAAGCUAGCUAUAGCUUUACCACACAAACCCUAAACUCCCAAAAGCUAAGCCUCCCCUGCCGCCUAACCUAAACCUAAAAUCCCUCUCAAAGCUCCCUUCUCGUUUGCUCCAUUCGCCUGCACAGGCAGUGCUCGAGUGGUCACAAAGCUCUCUCUUAUUCUUUUGCCUAAACCAUAAACACAUCCUAAAUCUCCCUCUGCUAAAAUUGCUGUCUUUCCCUCUCAUCUCUGCCUAAAUCUCCCUCUCAUUUAUCAAACACUACACCUAAAACUGCUCUAUUUCAGCAAGUUACUUCAAAUGGCAGCGAGGCUCCUGUAGUCGACCAGGAGGAUGUCACCGUUGCUGGCGAUUCGACGACGCGUGACGAAUUAGCUAGUGCUGCGGUGAAGCUUCAGAAGCUUUAUAAGGAUUAUCAGAUUUGCAAAGAUAAAGAUGAAGCUGAAGUAUGGUUUAGUGGUUUAAAAGCAUUGAUAUCCCGUGGUCAUCAUCGAAAAUGGAGAAAUGAGUUUAGGAGUGAUGGAAUCCCAUCAGAGGCAAAUAAACCUAGAACAUACACGAGGAGGAGUUCUCCUUUGCACUCUCCCUUCGG